Molecule: non-coding RNA, 87 nt
Organism: Pseudomonas putida
Lineage: Bacteria; Pseudomonadati; Pseudomonadota; Gammaproteobacteria; Pseudomonadales; Pseudomonadaceae
Source: Rfam
UCGUAAGUCGUCGCGCAGGAGGCCCUUCGCGGCGGCGAGCUUCGUUCGUCCCAUAUGGAUGCGACGAAGUUUCACCAGAAAAAGGAA